Molecule: long non-coding RNA, 547 nt
Filed under: Cucumis sativus (cucumber)
Lineage: Eukaryota; Viridiplantae; Streptophyta; Magnoliopsida; Cucurbitales; Cucurbitaceae
Description: long non-coding RNA (CSAT_LNC001983)
Source: RNAcentral
UAUCAAUAUCAAUCAUCUCCAACAGUCACAUCAUACAUCAUAGCUACUUUAAUGCAUAAUAGAGGAAACGUACAUCAUACAUCAUAGCUACUUUAAUAACAAAAAUGGCUUUCUUGGAGAAGGAAACCAACUGACUUAGGCAGCUCGGUGGGUAGAAGAAACGACUUUGAUGGCUUGAACGUGGCUCACAAAAGAGGACCGACUAGAGGUGGGCUCGGACAAAUGGUGACUGGCGCGCGCAACUCGGUUGAACGUAAAGAAAAGAGUCGCAUGCUUCUCGGUCUAGAGAGUUCGGCUUGCGACGGUAUUUACGGAGGACGAUGAAUAGAAGUUGAGACGUCGUUGGAGAUCGGUGUCAUGCAGGGGAGAAACUUCAUGACCAAUCUUCAAUCUCGGUUCAUUCCAGCUCCGGACGCACAACGUGGAGGAGAAUCACUUUGCGAUUGAGCUUGAUGGAAAAGCUCGGUGGACGAUGACACUUGCGACGAUGAAAGGAGAUGGUCUCGCCAACGGCGAGGAGUGUGGAGACGACUAUGGUUUUCUUGUG